RNAcentral lists this ribosomal RNA (253 nucleotides) under uncultured bacterium. RNAcentral's name for it is "partial 16S ribosomal RNA". It matches the Rfam family "Bacterial small subunit ribosomal RNA", at positions 524 to 776 of the family's 1533-position model. The record is from RNAcentral.
UACGGAGGGUGCUAGCGUUGUUCGGAAUCAUUGGGCGUAAAGGGCGUGUAGGCGGUCCGUUAAGUCAUGUGUGAAAGCCCCCGGCUUAACCGGGGAAUUGCGCAUGAAACUGAUGGACUAGAGUACGGAAGAGGGAGGUGGAAUUCCAGGUGUAGCGGUGAAAUGCGUAGAUAUCUGGAGGAACACCGGUGGCGAAGGCGGCCUCCUGGUCCGAUACUGACGCUGAUACGCGAAAGCGUGGGGAGCAAACAGG